UGAGGAUCUCUGCUGUAACGUGACACUUUGUAAGGCUCCCAUAGGCUCUCAGAAGGCGCCAGAACGUUGAAUGAUGACUCUGCUGUCCCAGGCUGAAAAACGGUAUUGCAUUUGGUAAGUGGUCGAUCUGAGAACAAUGAGACGGGGGCGCGCAUGCAAAAGAUGACUCCAUUUUCAACUUUGAGUCUUUGAACGAAAACAUGGUUUCCCGGUCGGAAUAGUAUCGCUAUUUUACGAGAAAAAUCGCAUAAAAAUUUAUUUUAAACAGAGUUUGACAUGCUUCGAAGUACGGUAAUGGAAUAUUUUGAAAAUUUUUGUCACGAUACGCGUCCGCGCGUCACCAUUCGGAUAGUGUCUUGAACGCAAGAACAAAACAGAGGAUAUUUGAACAUAACUAUGGAUUAUUUUGAACCAAAACAACAUUUGUGGAUGAAGUAGAAGUCCUGGGAGUGCAUUCUGACGAAGAACAGCAAAGGUGACAUAAACUGAGACAACCACCUGACCAAGUCCUAAAGCAAUGGGACUCGAUUAUUACCAAUCCCACAAGGUAUGACUCCAACCACCCAGAAAAGGCUACGCUCCUUGAUGUUGUCCUCACAAAUAAUCCUGAAAGGUCGCAGUUGUAAAUGAGAGCUUGUUAACAAAUGGCCUACCUGGUUAAAUAAAGGAAUGAUCAAGCAGGGAGGCAAAGGUGGUCCAAACAUAGGGGUCCAUCAUCCAACUCAGCUGACUCCGUGGCUGUGAAGAUGAGUCAUGAUGACUGCUCAUGGAAAGGUGAGAUUCAUUAUACUCAACCCAGUAGCAGUAAAAAAUAAAAACGAUAUGACAUUUAAGCCUAUCCUAUUUUACAUGGUUGAUGAUUAUUUUAAUUGACAUGCUAAAUAAUGUGUCAGAGGCACUCAAAUCUGCUUCCAUACGUGGCCACUAUGUCCCAAG
RNAcentral lists this long non-coding RNA (936 nucleotides) under Salmo salar (Atlantic salmon). Its description in RNAcentral is "lncRNA (ENSSSAG00000086929.1, ENSSSAG00000089099.1, ENSSSAG00020080269.1, ENSSSAG00075010020.1)". The record is from RNAcentral. Lineage: Eukaryota; Metazoa; Chordata; Actinopteri; Salmoniformes; Salmonidae.